AUGGAGAGGGUGCGGCCAGCCGCAGGUGAGUGGAGUUGCCACAUCAGCAGGGCAAACCCCGCCCCAUCCCCUCCCCCAGCUCCGGAGGGAGGCCCCCGAGGCCCCAGAGGAUGGUGGGAAGUGGGUGGAGAGAGAGUUCAGCCCGGUUGGCUGGAGGGGGUGGUGGUGGCUGCACCGGUGGGUUGGGGAGACUGUGUGAGUGUACCUGGCCGUGCUAUAUCUGACCGAACAUCCGUGAAUGUUCCAGAGUCCUACAGGCGUGUGCAUACAAGUAGCCUUCUGUGAUCAGAGAAGGAGCCCUAACAUUAGCUCAGCAGUUGUACCUCCAAUUGACAAAUGAGAACGUGGGCUCAAAGUACCGCAGUGACCACAGCAGUUCCCAUGGUAGGCACGUGCAUUUGAUCCCAUGACUUCUACCACUCAGGGUAAGACCCCUGGCCUCCUCCCCAUCAGUGGUCCCAGUCCAGGGCUCAGGAAAGGAGGAAGGGCUUGGCUAUUCCUGUGUUGUCAUUUCAUUCACUCCAGUCUUGCUCAGAGGUGAGACAGCUUGCCCAGGUCACAGUCGGGGAGUAGCUGAGGCAGGAUUUGAACCCCAGUCUCUUGAGCUCCGGAGCUCAUGCUUAUAGGGGCUGGGUUGAGGGGUGGGGGGUUAGUCUGGGGCUGACUGGCCACUGGUCCCAGAGAAAAAGGCAUAAAGGUGAUGAGGUAAGAGUAGAAAUGAGGAAAGGUGGCUCAAGGCAGUUCCCAUGGGGCGUCAUACCCAGAACGGAGGUGAUACAGACUCACGUGUGCCCCAGGGUCUGGCGGACUUGCUGUUCUAACCGAAGCCCGGCUUCCUUUCUGGGGGCCCCCUCCCAUGGACUGAGGCACUGGGUUGAGGGAAAAUGUGACUAAGGAGCCACAUGGAACAAUCUCUGUGCUAGCUGGUCACAAGUUUUUUGUUUGUUUUAAUUUUUAUUCUCUCUAUUUUUAAAUUUAUUUUUUAUUGAUGGAUAAUUGCUUUACAUAUUCUAUAUUAAAGUAUAGUUGAUUAACAAUUUUGUGUUAGUUUCAAGUGUACAGAAAAAUGAUUCAAUUAUACAUAUACAUGUAUCUUUUUUUUUUUCAAAUUCUUUUCCCUGUAAGGUUAUUACAGAAUAUUGAGCAGAGUUCUCUGUGCUAUGAGGUCCCAAGUUUUGAAAUUCCACCGUUCCACCGUUCGUCUGACCUAUGUCCCCUGGAGGCCUCCUUUUUUAGAUCAGAACCCUAGACUCUGGGGGAAGUGUCUGGAGCCGCCUCCCAGCCUAAGGGAGUCUGAUUGGAGUGAGGGUCUCAUAUUGAUGGAAGUCCUG
Molecule: long non-coding RNA, 1331 nt
Filed under: Bos grunniens (domestic yak)
Lineage: Eukaryota; Metazoa; Chordata; Mammalia; Artiodactyla; Bovidae
Description: lncRNA (ENSBGRG00000014282.1)
Source: RNAcentral